GAGGAAUAUUGGUCAAUGGACGAAAGUCUGAACCAGCCAUGCCGCGUGCAGGAUGAAUGCCCUAUGGGUUGUAAACUGCUUUUAUGUAGGAAUAAACCCCCUCUCGUGAGAGGGGCUGAAGGUACUACAAGAAUAAGGACCGGCUAACUCCGUGCCAGCAGCCGCGGUAAUACGGAGGGUCCAAGCGUUAUCCGGAUUUAUUGGGUUUAAAGGGUCCGCAGGCGGGAAAAUAAGUCAGUGGUGAAAUCCUAUCGCUUAACGAUAGAACUGCCAUUGAUACUGUUUUUCUUGAGUGUAAUUGAAGUGGGCGGAAUGUGUCAUGUAGCGGUGAAAUGCAUAGAUAUGACACAGAACACCGAUUGCGAAGGCAGCUCACUAAAUUAUUACUAACGCUCAGGGACGAAAGCGUGGGGAGCAAAC
Molecule: ribosomal RNA, 420 nt
Filed under: uncultured bacterium
Lineage: Bacteria
Description: bacterial SSU rRNA
Rfam family: Bacterial small subunit ribosomal RNA
Source: RNAcentral